AUGGUACAACCAGAACUUGCUGAAAGCUGGGCGCUCCGUCAAGCUGUGAUUCUCGCCUGUGAUGAGGGACUGACCUUUGUCAUUUUCGCUUCUGAUUGGCUCUCCUUAGUACAACGAGUGAACUCUUCAUCCAUAGACAGGUCUGAAGUGGGUGUAGUAGUGUCAGAUAUUAAGCGUUUGGUUGCUUGUUUUUCUUCUGUUUCCUUCUGCCAUGUCAAGAGGUCGUUGAAUGCUGCUGCUCACAUACUAGCUAGGGCUUGUGAGUUUGCUAGUUCAAAAGUUGUGUACUAUUCUACUCCAGAAUGUAUCAGGCAAACUUUUUGUACUGAUGUAUACUAA
Molecule: ribosomal RNA, 339 nt
Filed under: Triticum aestivum (bread wheat)
Lineage: Eukaryota; Viridiplantae; Streptophyta; Magnoliopsida; Poales; Poaceae
Description: partial small subunit ribosomal RNA
Source: RNAcentral